GCUGUUCAAAGAUGGAUGUGUAUAGUAAAAGUGCCACCACCACGUCGAAAUUCUGAUUGGAAGAUAUUGGAAGAAAAUUUGCGUUUCCAUCAUUGAAAAGUACGGCGUUCUAUGCUUCCAGCAUACUUCAAGUCUGUUGAAAUCGAUGAGUCAACUCAACUUACUUUCCCUGGGAUUAUUCGUCAUAAAAAUGAUAACAAGCCUACAAUUUACACUUGGCAAUACCAUCUGAUCAUGUAGCCUGAAAAUGCUGUUUCCCAAGAUGUUGUCUCUUGCUGCACAUACCGGCUGUGCGUUUCCUCACAUGUAGAAAUACUUCACAACAGUAAAAGUGAUCAUGUUGUGUAACCUUAGCAUGGUGAAGUCUGAGAUUCUUCAUUGCAGUCCAAUGUGCUGUGCCAGUGUGAUUUGUUGCAGCCAGCUGGCGAAAGGUGUUCCUCUUGCAGGCUGACUUGUUACCAGUACCAUUUGUAUGUUUGUCAUGCAGAAACACACACUUAAAGUGCUGAUGUUGUCCUGGAGUGUGGGAGAGUUCCAUGCUUCAAGUCUUCUGGGAUCAGCCAUAUCUGAGUUGAUGCUGGAUCAUGCUGCAUUGAGGUUGCCGAAAUGUGGACAUCUAGUAGAACUGCAAGAAGACUUCUUGAAAUGGUUUAUGUUUACGUAGCAGUGAUGUUGCUGUCCAAUAUGGCAUGUUGUUGCAGCCUAUAGACUGGUGACAGAUUUUUUGCAUCGAGCUAUGCUGUUGCUGUUCCUUGGUGCCGGACUGCUGGUGUGGUGCACAAAAGUUACAUCCAGUUUUAAUUGUUGUUUGUGUCUAAAUGCAUCUAUGAAGUUAACCGUUUAUAUGUUGAGAAUGAAAAAAAAUUAGUAAUACGGGGAAUAUUUACGUUGAAAAAAUAAUAAACAUGCCUUCGCGGUUGGGAAAUCAGCGAGGAGGAGAUUGGGGGUGGGGGUGGGUAAUUGAUUUUCAUUAAUUAGAAAAAGUCGUUUUUUUUAAUAAGGUAGAAAAUCCUUUGUCUAUAACAUCCAUAUACCUACCUAUAUAACCACAUCUAUUCCUCAAACUCCAUAACCUCCACCAACAUCCAUUCCUUAAACUCCCAUUUCCCCUCAAAUGUCAAAUAUCUGUAAUAUGUACAUGUUAUUGUUCAAUAAAUAAACCAACUUUAUGCUAUGUAAAA
This 1181-nucleotide long non-coding RNA is filed under the name Daphnia pulicaria. RNAcentral describes it as "uncharacterized LOC124341497, transcript variant X2". Lineage: Eukaryota; Metazoa; Arthropoda; Branchiopoda; Diplostraca; Daphniidae. The record is from RNAcentral.